GUCAUAUGCUUGUCUCAAAGAUUAAGCCAUGCAUGUCUCAGUACAAGCCAAAUUAAGGUGAAACCGCGAAAGGCUCAUUAAAUCAGUUAUGGUUCCUUAGAUCGUACCCACAAUUACUUGGAUAACUGUGGUAAUUCUAGAGCUAAUACAUGCAAACAGAGCUCCGACCGGAGACGGAAGGAGUGCUUUUAUUAGAUCAAAACCAAUCGGUGGCGGGUUCGCGCUCGUUAUCGUACAACUUGGUGACUCUGAAUAACUUUACGCUGAUCGCACGGUCAUCGCACCGGCGACGCAUCUUUCAAAUGUCUGCCUUAUCAACUGUCGAUGGUAGGUUCUGCGCCUACCAUGGUUGUAACGGGUAACGGGGAAUCAGGGUUCGAUUCCGGAGAGGGAGCCUGAGAAACGGCUACCACAUCCAAGGAAGGCAGCAGGCGCGCAAAUUACCCACUCCCGGCACGGGGAGGUAGUGACGAAAAAUAACGAUACGGGACUCAUCCGAGGCCCCGUAAUCGGAAUGAGUACACUCUAAACCCUUUAACGAGGAUCAAUUGGAGGGCAAGUCUGGUGCCAGCAGCCGCGG
Molecule: ribosomal RNA, 580 nt
Filed under: Trigonopterus uniformis
Lineage: Eukaryota; Metazoa; Arthropoda; Insecta; Coleoptera; Curculionidae
Also listed under: 8 other names
Description: SSU rRNA
Rfam family: Eukaryotic small subunit ribosomal RNA
Source: RNAcentral